UAUCCGAUUAUUGGGCGUAAAGAGCUCGUAGGCGGUUUGUCGCGUCUGCCGUGAAAGUCCGGGGCUCAACUCCGGAUCUGCGGUGGGUACGGGCAGACUAGAGUGAUGUAGGGGAGACUGGAAUUCCUGGUGUAGCGGUGAAAUGCGCAGAUAUCAGGAGGAACACCGAUGGCGAAGGCAGGUCUCUGGGCAUUAACUGACGCUGAGGAGCGAAAGCAUGGGGAGCGAACAGGAUUAGAUACCCUGGUAGUCCAUGCCGUAAACGUUGGGCACUAGGUGUGGGGGACAUUCCACGUUUUCCGCGCCGUAGCUAACGCAUUAAGUGCCCCGCCUGGGGAGUACGGCCGCAAGGCUAAAACUCAAAGGAAUUGACGGGGGCCCGCACAAGCGGCGGAGCAUGCGGAUUAAUUCGAUGCAACGCGAAGAACCUUACCAAGGCUUGACAUGAAUUAGUAAGGCGCAGAAAUGCGUCCCCCUCUUGAGGCUGGUUUACAGGUGGUGCAUGGUUGUCGUCAGCUCGUGUCGUGAGAUGUUGGGUUAAGUCCCGCAACGAGCGCAACCCUCGUUCUAUGUUGCCAGCGCGUGAUGGCGGGGACUCAUAGGAGACUGCCGGGGUCAACUCGGAGGAAGGUGGGGACGACGUCAAAUCAUCAUGCCCCUUAUGUCUUGGGCUUCACGCAUGCUACAAUGGCCGGUACAAAGGGUUGCGAUACUGUGAGGUGGAGCUAAUCCCAAAAAGCCGGUCUCAGUUCGGAUUGGGGUCUGCAACUCGACCCCAUGAANUCGGAGUCNCUAGUAAUCGCANAUCANCAACGCUGCGGUGAAUAC
Molecule: ribosomal RNA, 828 nt
Filed under: Arthrobacter sp. SKT-4a
Lineage: Bacteria; Bacillati; Actinomycetota; Actinomycetes; Micrococcales; Micrococcaceae
Description: bacterial SSU rRNA
Rfam family: Bacterial small subunit ribosomal RNA
Source: RNAcentral